AGCUCCAAUAGCGUAUAUUAAAGUUGUUGCAGUUAAAACGCUCGUAGUCGGAUUUCGGGGCGGGCCUGCCGGUUUGCCGAUGGGUAUAUACUGGUGGGUGCGUCCUUCCUUCCGGAGACCGCGCCUCCUCUUAACUGAGCGGGCGUGGGAGACGGAUCGUUUACUUUGAAAAAAUCAGAGUGUUUCAAGCAGGCAUUUCGCUUUUGCAUGGAUUAGCAUGGGAUAAUGAAAUAGGACUUUGGUGCUAUUUUGUUGGUUUCGAGCACCGAAGUAAUGAUUAACAGGGACAGUCAGGGGCACUCGUAUUCCGCAGAGAGAGGUGAAAUUCUCAGACCCGCGGAAGACGAACCACUGCGAAAGCAUUUGCCAGGGAUGUUUUCACUG
This 384-nucleotide ribosomal RNA is filed under the name Haptophyta sp. Its description in RNAcentral is "SSU rRNA". It matches the Rfam family "Eukaryotic small subunit ribosomal RNA", at positions 587 to 975 of the family's 1831-position model. The record is from RNAcentral. Lineage: Eukaryota; Haptophyta.